Molecule: ribosomal RNA, 498 nt
Filed under: uncultured Sphingobacteriales bacterium
Lineage: Bacteria; Pseudomonadati; Bacteroidota; Sphingobacteriia; Sphingobacteriales
Description: bacterial SSU rRNA
Rfam family: Bacterial small subunit ribosomal RNA
Source: RNAcentral
CGCCAGCCCGCUCAGAAACUCAAAUGAAUUGACGGGGGCCCGCACAAGCGGUGGAGCAUGUGGUUUAAUUCGAUGAUACGCGAGGAACCUUACCUGGGCUCAAAUGUAUGUUGACGUAUUCUGAAAGGGAUACUUCUUCGGACAAUAUACAAGGUGCUGCAUGGUUGUCGUCAGCUCGUGCCGUGAGGUGUCGGGUUAAGUCCCAUAACGAGCGCAACCCCUAUCAUUAGUUGCCAUCAGGUCAAGCUGGGGACUCUAAUGAAACUGCCUACGCAAGUAGUGAGGAAGGUGGGGAUGACGUCAAAUCAGCACGGCCCUUACGUCCAGGGCUACACACGUGCUACAAUGGCCGGUACAAAGGGCAGCUACCUGGUGACAGGAUGCUAAUCUCAAAAGCCGGUCUCAGUUCGGAUCGGAGUCUGCAACCCGACUCCGUGAAGUUGGAUUCGCUAGUAAUCGCGCAUCAGCCAUGGCGCGGUGAAUACGUUCCCGGGCCUU